RNAcentral lists this ribosomal RNA (245 nucleotides) under uncultured bacterium. Its description in RNAcentral is "partial 16S ribosomal RNA". It matches the Rfam family "Bacterial small subunit ribosomal RNA", at positions 524 to 768 of the family's 1533-position model. The record is from RNAcentral.
UACAGAGGGUGCGAGCGUUAAUCGGAAUUACUGGGCGUAAAGGGUGCGUAGGUGGUUAUAUAAGUUAGGUGUGAAAGUCCCGGGCUUAACCUGGGGAUUGCGCCUGAUACUGUGUAGCUAGAGUGCUGUAGAGGAAAGUGGAAUUUCCGGUGUAGCGGUGAAAUGCGUAGAUAUCGGAAGGAACAUCGGUGGCGAAGGCGACUUUCUGGACAGACACUGACACUGAGGCACGAAAGCAUGGGGAG